GAUGAACGCUGGCGGCGUGCCUAAUACAUGCAAGUCGAGCGAACAGAUGAGGAGCUUGCUCCUCUGACGUUAGCGGCGGACGGGUGAGUAACACGUGGAUAACCUACCUAUAAGACUGGGAUAACUUCGGGAAACCGGAGCUAAUACCGGAUAAUAUAUUGAACCGCAUGGUUCAAUAGUGAAAGACGGUUUUGCUGUCACUUAUAGAUGGAUCCGCGCCGCAUUAGCUAGUUGGUAAGGUAACGGCUUACCAAGGCAACGAUGCGUAGCCGACCUGAGAGGGUGAUCGGCCACACUGGAACUGCGACACGGUCCAGACUCCUACGGGAGGCAGCAGUAGGGAAUCUUCCGCAAAGGACGAAAGCCUGACGGAGCAACGCCGCGUGAGUGAUGAAGGUCUUCGGAUCGUAAAACUCUGUUAUUAGGGAAGAACAAAUGUGUAAGUAACUAUGCACGUCUUGACGGUACCUAAUCAGAAAGCCACGGCUAACUACGUG
Molecule: ribosomal RNA, 497 nt
Filed under: uncultured bacterium
Lineage: Bacteria
Description: partial 16S ribosomal RNA
Rfam family: Bacterial small subunit ribosomal RNA
Source: RNAcentral